AGUGAACGCUGGCGGUAGGCCUAACACAUGCAAGUCGAACGGCAGCACAGUAAGAGCUUGCUCUUACGGGUGGCGAGUGGCGGACGGGUGAGAAAUACAUCGGAAUCUACUUUUUCGUGGGGGAUAACGUAGGGAAACUUACGCUAAUACCGCAUACGACCUACGGGUGAAAGCAGGGGAUCUUCGGACCUUGCGCGAUUGAAUGAGCCGAUGUCGGAUUAGCUAGUUGGCGGGGUAAAGGCCCACCAAGGCGACGAUCCGUAGCUGGUCUGAGAGGAUGAUCAGCCACACUGGAACUGAGACACGGUCCAGACUCCUACGGGAGGCAGCAGUGGGGAAUAUUGGACAAUGGGCGCAAGCCUGAUCCAGCCAUACCGCGUGGGUGAAGAAGGCCUUCGGGUUGUAAAGCCCUUUUGUUGGGAAAGAAAAGCAGCAGGUUAAUACCCCGCUGUUCCGACGGUACCCAAAGAAUAAGCACCGGCUAACUUCGUG
This 492-nucleotide ribosomal RNA is filed under the name uncultured bacterium. RNAcentral's name for it is "partial 16S ribosomal RNA". It matches the Rfam family "Bacterial small subunit ribosomal RNA", at positions 29 to 507 of the family's 1533-position model. The record is from RNAcentral.